GCCGAGUUAUUAUGGGAGGUAACGUAGCCAUGAGUCCAACCACUCCUUCCCCUUCCCAAUCAUUGCAGAUGUGUUUGGGGCGUCGGAUGGUUGCACGUGAGUCAACCCCGUGGAUUUCAUGCCGACACGGACAGCCACUAAAUCACAGUACCGAUCCAAGAAGGAGAGAUGGUAAGAUACCUCAAGCUGCAGCAUGUGGCUUGCUGGCUGUGACUUGUGAAGGAGAGCAAGUUGGAGAGACUGUUCAUUUCCUGUAUCAUUGUGGCGGCGCUAUCUUCCUUUCUC
RNAcentral lists this long non-coding RNA (285 nucleotides) under Musa acuminata (dwarf banana). Its description in RNAcentral is "long non-coding RNA (MACU_LNC003346)". The record is from RNAcentral. Lineage: Eukaryota; Viridiplantae; Streptophyta; Magnoliopsida; Zingiberales; Musaceae.